This 24-nucleotide non-coding RNA is filed under the name Arabidopsis thaliana (thale cress). The record is from RNAcentral. Lineage: Eukaryota; Viridiplantae; Streptophyta; Magnoliopsida; Brassicales; Brassicaceae.
AGCUCAUUCGUUGUGGUCUCUGUA